GGCAAGAUGGCCGAGUGGUCUAAGGUACGUUGGAUCGAGACUUCACGGGCGUGGGUUCGAAUCCCACUCUUGUCA
This 75-nucleotide transfer RNA is filed under the name Talaromyces stipitatus ATCC 10500. RNAcentral's name for it is "tRNA-Leu (GAG) (tRNA-Leu-GAG-1-1)". It matches the Rfam family "tRNA". From Rfam's summary of the family: Transfer RNA (tRNA) molecules are approximately 80 nucleotides in length. Their secondary structure includes four short double-helical elements and three loops (D, anti-codon, and T loops). Lineage: Eukaryota; Fungi; Ascomycota; Eurotiomycetes; Eurotiales; Trichocomaceae. The record is from RNAcentral.